Molecule: ribosomal RNA, 2901 nt
Filed under: Escherichia coli B93
Lineage: Bacteria; Pseudomonadati; Pseudomonadota; Gammaproteobacteria; Enterobacterales; Enterobacteriaceae
Description: bacterial LSU rRNA
Rfam family: Bacterial large subunit ribosomal RNA
Source: RNAcentral
UAAGCGACUAAGCGUACACGGUGGAUGCCCUGGCAGUCAGAGGCGAUGAAGGACGUGCUAAUCUGCGAUAAGCGUCGGUAAGGUGAUAUGAACCGUUAUAACCGGCGAUUUCCGAAUGGGGAAACCCAGUGUGUUUCGUCACACUAUCAUUAACUGAAUCCAUAGGUUAAUGAGGCGAACCGGGGGAACUGAAACAUCUAAGUACCCCGAGGAAAAGAAAUCAACCGAGAUUCCCCCAGUAGCGGCGAGCGAACGGGGAGGAGCCCAGAGCCUGAAUCAGUGUGUGUGUUAGUGGAAGCGUCUGGAAAGGCGCGCGAUACAGGGUGACAGCCCCGUACACAAAAAUGCACAUGCUGUGAGCUCGAUGAGUAGGGCGGGACACGUGGUAUCCUGUCUGAAUAUGGGGGGACCAUCCUCCAAGGCUAAAUACUCCUGACUGACCGAUAGUGAACCAGUACCGUGAGGGAAAGGCGAAAAGAACCCCGGCGAGGGGAGUGAAAAAGAACCUGAAACCGUGUACGUACAAGCAGUGGGAGCACAGAGCAAUCUGUGUGACUGCGUACCUUUUGUAUAAUGGGUCAGCGACUUAUAUUCUGUAGCAAGGUUAACCGAAUAGGGGAGCCGAAGGGAAACCGAGUCUUAACUGGGCGUUAAGUUGCAGGGUAUAGACCCGAAACCCGGUGAUCUAGCCAUGGGCAGGUUGAAGGUUGGGUAACACUAACUGGAGGACCGAACCGACUAAUGUUGAAAAAUUAGCGGAUGACUUGUGGCUGGGGGUGAAAGGCCAAUCAAACCGGGAGAUAGCUGGUUCUCCCCGAAAGCUAUUUAGGUAGCGCCUCGUGAAUUCAUCUCCGGGGGUAGAGCACUGUUUCGGCAAGGGGGUCAUCCCGACUUACCAACCCGAUGCAAACUGCGAAUACCGGAGAAUGUUAUCACGGGAGACACACGGCGGGUGCUAACGUCCGUCGUGAAGAGGGAAACAACCCAGACCGCCAGCUAAGGUCCCAAAGUCAUGGUUAAGUGGGAAACGAUGUGGGAAGGCCCAGACAGCCAGGAUGUUGGCUUAGAAGCAGCCAUCAUUUAAAGAAAGCGUAAUAGCUCACUGGUCGAGUCGGCCUGCGCGGAAGAUGUAACGGGGCUAAACCAUGCACCGAAGCUGCGGCAGCGACACUGUGUGUUGUUGGGUAGGGGAGCGUUCUGUAAGCCUGUGAAGGUGUGCUGUGAGGCAUGCUGGAGGUAUCAGAAGUGCGAAUGCUGACAUAAGUAACGAUAAAGCGGGUGAAAAGCCCGCUCGCCGGAAGACCAAGGGUUCCUGUCCAACGUUAAUCGGGGCAGGGUGAGUCGACCCCUAAGGCGAGGCCGAAAGGCGUAGUCGAUGGGAAACAGGUUAAUAUUCCUGUACUUGGUGUUACUGCGAAGGGGGGACGGAGAAGGCUAUGUUGGCCGGGCGACGGUUGUCCCGGUUUAAGCGUGUAGGCUGGUUUUCCAGGCAAAUCCGGAAAAUCAAGGCUGAGGCGUGAUGACGAGGCACUACGGUGCUGAAGCAACAAAUGCCCUGCUUCCAGGAAAAGCCUCUAAGCAUCAGGUAACAUCAAAUCGUACCCCAAACCGACACAGGUGGUCAGGUAGAGAAUACCAAGGCGCUUGAGAGAACUCGGGUGAAGGAACUAGGCAAAAUGGUGCCGUAACUUCGGGAGAAGGCACGCUGAUAUGUAGGUGAAGUCCCUCGCGGAUGGAGCUGAAAUCAGUCGAAGAUACCAGCUGGCUGCAACUGUUUAUUAAAAACACAGCACUGUGCAAACACGAAAGUGGACGUAUACGGUGUGACGCCUGCCCGGUGCCGGAAGGUUAAUUGAUGGGGUCAGCGCAAGCGAAGCUCUUGAUCGAAGCCCCGGUAAACGGCGGCCGUAACUAUAACGGUCCUAAGGUAGCGAAAUUCCUUGUCGGGUAAGUUCCGACCUGCACGAAUGGCGUAAUGAUGGCCAGGCUGUCUCCACCCGAGACUCAGUGAAAUUGAACUCGCUGUGAAGAUGCAGUGUACCCGCGGCAAGACGGAAAGACCCCGUGAACCUUUACUAUAGCUUGACACUGAACAUUGAGCCUUGAUGUGUAGGAUAGGUGGGAGGCUUUGAAGUGUGGACGCCAGUCUGCAUGGAGCCGACCUUGAAAUACCACCCUUUAAUGUUUGAUGUUCUAACGUGGACCCGUGAUCCGGGUUGCGGACAGUGUCUGGUGGGUAGUUUGACUGGGGCGGUCUCCUCCUAAAGAGUAACGGAGGAGCACGAAGGUUGGCUAAUCCUGGUCGGACAUCAGGAGGUUAGUGCAAUGGCAUAAGCCAGCUUGACUGCGAGCGUGACGGCGCGAGCAGGUGCGAAAGCAGGUCAUAGUGAUCCGGUGGUUCUGAAUGGAAGGGCCAUCGCUCAACGGAUAAAAGGUACUCCGGGGAUAACAGGCUGAUACCGCCCAAGAGUUCAUAUCGACGGCGGUGUUUGGCACCUCGAUGUCGGCUCAUCACAUCCUGGGGCUGAAGUAGGUCCCAAGGGUAUGGCUGUUCGCCAUUUAAAGUGGUACGCGAGCUGGGUUUAGAACGUCGUGAGACAGUUCGGUCCCUAUCUGCCGUGGGCGCUGGAGAACUGAGGGGGGCUGCUCCUAGUACGAGAGGACCGGAGUGGACGCAUCACUGGUGUUCGGGUUGUCAUGCCAAUGGCACUGCCCGGUAGCUAAAUGCGGAAGAGAUAAGUGCUGAAAGCAUCUAAGCACGAAACUUGCCCCGAGAUGAGUUCUCCCUGACCCUUUAAGGGUCCUGAAGGAACGUUGAAGACGACGACGUUGAUAGGCCGGGUGUGUAAGCGCAGCGAUGCGUUGAGCUAACCGGUACUAAUGAACCGUGAGGCUUAACCU